RNAcentral lists this ribosomal RNA (567 nucleotides) under uncultured bacterium. RNAcentral describes it as "bacterial SSU rRNA". It matches the Rfam family "Bacterial small subunit ribosomal RNA", at positions 334 to 917 of the family's 1533-position model. The record is from RNAcentral.
UACUCCUACGGGAGGCAGCAGUGGGGAAUAUUGGACAAUGGGGGCAACCCUGAUCCAGCAAUUCUGUGUGCACGAAGAAGGUUUUCGGAUUGUAAAGUGCUUUCAGCAGGGAAGAAGAAAGUGACGGUACCUGCAGAAGAAGCGACGGCUAAAUACGUGCCAGCAGCCGCGGUAAUACGUAUGUCGCAAGCGUUAUCCGGAAUUAUUGGGCAUAAAGGGCAUCUAGGCGGCCCUGUAAGUCUAGGGUGAAAACCUGCGGCUCAACCGCAGGCCUGCCCCGGAAACUACAGGGCUAGAGUAUCGGAGAGGUGGACGGAACUGCACGAGUAGAGGUGAAAUUCGUAGAUAUGUGCAGGAAUGCCGAUGAUGAAGAUAGUUCACUGGACGGUAACUGACGCUGAAGUGCGAAAGCUAGGGGAGCAAACAGGAUUAGAUACCCUGGUAGUCCUAGCUGUAAACGAUGAUUACUGGGUGUGGGCAUGAAGAGUGUCCGUGCCGAAGCAAAUGCGAUAAGUAAUCCGCCUGGGGAGUACGGCCGCAAGGCUGAAACUCAAAGGAAUUGACGGA